Molecule: ribosomal RNA, 292 nt
Filed under: uncultured bacterium
Lineage: Bacteria
Description: partial 16S ribosomal RNA
Rfam family: Bacterial small subunit ribosomal RNA
Source: RNAcentral
GUGUCAGCAGCCGCGGUAAGACGAAGGUGGCGAGCGUUGUUCGGAAUCACUGGGCAUAAAGCGCACGUAGGCGGCGGCGUAAGUCGGGUGUGAAAUCCCUCGGCCCAACCGAGGAACUGCGCCCGAUACUGCGUUGCUUGAGGAUCAGAGGGGUGCACGGAAUUUCCGGUGGAGCGGUGAAAUGCGUUGAUAUCGGAAGGAACGUCGGCGGCGAAAGCGGUGCACUGGCUGAUUUCUGACGCUGAGGUGCGAAAGCCAGGGGAGCAAACGGGAUUAGAUACCCCCGUAGUCC